Phrynosoma platyrhinos (Desert horned lizard) is the source of this 66-nucleotide non-coding RNA. NCBI's taxonomy places the organism in Eukaryota, Metazoa, Chordata, Lepidosauria, Squamata, Phrynosomatidae. The record is from the annotation of a GenBank genome assembly.
GCCAGUGUGGCAUAGUGGUUUAAGCGCUCGACUCUGGAGACCAGGGUUCAAAUCCCUGAUCAGCCA